Molecule: long non-coding RNA, 232 nt
Filed under: Elaeis guineensis (African oil palm)
Lineage: Eukaryota; Viridiplantae; Streptophyta; Magnoliopsida; Arecales; Arecaceae
Description: long non-coding RNA (EGUI_LNC051021)
Source: RNAcentral
GAUCAAGUCUAAUUGAAUUAGAUUCAAUUCGACUUAGGUUAGAUUUGAUAUGAUCAAGUCUGAUUAUAAGAAAAAUUUAAUCCUGAUUCGAUCAGAACUUGAACUCAGCUAAUUUUUAAUUAGAUUAGAUCUAUUUCUAUCAUUGGGUUCAAAUCAAAUUUGAUUUGGAUUAGAAUCGAAUUAUAAAUGAAGAGUCCUAGUCGGCAGGGACUCCAUCCUUAUCUCUUGCGCC